This 253-nucleotide ribosomal RNA is filed under the name uncultured bacterium. RNAcentral describes it as "partial 16S ribosomal RNA". It matches the Rfam family "Bacterial small subunit ribosomal RNA", at positions 524 to 776 of the family's 1533-position model. The record is from RNAcentral.
GACAGAGGGUGCAAACGUUGUUCGGAAUUACUGGGCGUAAAGGGUUUGUAGGUGGCUUGUUAAGUCAGACGUGAAAUCCCUCAGCUUAACUGGGGAACUGCGUCUGAUACUGAUGAGCUUGAGUGCAGGAGAGGAACGCGGAAUUCCAGGUGUAGCGGUGAAAUGCGUAGAUAUCUGGAGGAACACCGGUGGCGAAGGCGGCGUUCUGGACUGCAACUGACACUGAGAAACGAAAGCCAGGGGAGCAAACGGG